AUAGUUAUUAUCACAGUUUCCAGAUGUUGCUCGGAUUGUAAUCUAUGGGUUUUAAAAUAUUUAAUAAAGCUGCUGCAUUAAUAGAAGAAAAGACUUGUUCCCGCCCGGUUUCGAACCGAGGACCUUUCGCGUGUUAGGCGAACGUGAUAACCACUACACUACGGGAACUGAGCUGCGCCUCGUUCCCUGACAGCGCUCUUUUGAAGUAUGAACCGCGUAUUUUCUAUAUUAUAGCUCUGGUCCAUUCUGAAGGCAGUUGUCUAUGUAGUAGUCAUUGCCUUUUAAGGCGGCUCUGACGUUAGCAGCAUUUUAACCGAUAAGGAUCCUUAUUUAUGAGGCAGCGCGUUCAGGACACGAUGGAGUCAGCAUACGUCAUUACGUCCAGCGCGCUGUGCUCGUAUGGAACGCCCUUUGGGUCUUUACGUCUACAUUGACGUCCGUGUUAAUGAACGUCUUAAGACGGCAAAUCUUACCGUGUUAACACGUUACUUUUGGACGUCUUAAGACGGCAACUUGUGCCGUCCUAACACGUAACUUUAAAAUUGGGUGAUACCACUGCACUCACAUCUGAGGGGGGGAAUCCAAACACUGCAAAAAAGCCCCUCCAAAGACCCACCCUGACCUCGCCCCCAUUCUUUGGCCCGCAACGCUGACCAUAGCACCUGUGAUGCUCCUUAUCUGGCAACCCUGGCCGCAGCGUUGGCGCAGAAGAAAUGAAUCAGCAGAGGCUUCAAGCAAUAGCUGAUCGAUUUCAACAGCUUGUUAAUCGAGCAUCUGCAACUGAAGGCAGGCCUUCCACUUCUGGGACAAUGGUCGACAGCGGAAUCAACAGUGAAAAAAGUUGUAGUGCCACUCUCCAUGCCAGAAGCUGCUUUUAAUGAAAAAAUAAGAGAAGAAUUUCCUGCUGUACAAGGAAAAUGGGGAAGAAGAGGUCAGGAAAAUCCACGGCAUGGGGGAUGGAAUGCUGGAGGAAAACCAGAACAUGUUGGAAGAACAAAACA
Molecule: long non-coding RNA, 1001 nt
Organism: Astyanax mexicanus (Mexican tetra)
Lineage: Eukaryota; Metazoa; Chordata; Actinopteri; Characiformes; Acestrorhamphidae
Exons: 4
Source: RefSeq, a predicted model, not a curated record